Strigops habroptila (Kakapo) is the source of this 2036-nucleotide long non-coding RNA. RefSeq lists it as uncharacterized. Lineage: Eukaryota; Metazoa; Chordata; Aves; Psittaciformes; Psittacidae. The record is from RefSeq and is a predicted model, not a curated record. The transcript is spliced from 3 exons.
UAAAUCAAAUUUUUCCUUCAAUCAGACAGAGGUACCUGGUAAUCCUGGAUCUCCGGGAGGCCCUUUUGGACCAUGUGUACCAAGCAGCGGAGUGGGGUCACCUCUCUUGCCUGUAGAAGUACAAUGACUUUUAUUUCAUACAAGUUUCCUUUUCAUCCACAAAAUCAAAGCUGGACAAUUUUGUAAGAUCAGAUAAUUUACAGAUAUUAACAGCUGUAAAAGGGACUAAGAGAAUAUAGAAUGAAAAAUGCUUUGGCACAUGUAAAUUAUCUGCCAUCUCAGCUUGUCUUGAAGUACUAACUCAGUUUCUGUUUAGUAUGACUCAGGGCAGCAUUAAUGAAAAUUUCCCAUAACGAAAAAAGAAAACCAAAAAUUACAGGAACUUUCCCAAUACUGACAGCAUACACUGAAAAAGAAAGAUACUGCAUAAAUUCCCCAGAACACUUUAUUAAACAGAGAACUCCUUACAUAGGUUUGUGAGGAUGUGCAAAAUCAAUACCUUGUGAGUCUAUUUACUCAGUAAAGACCUUUUACAGACUAGCAGGGGACUUAAAGGCAUCACACCUCCUUCUUUCUGCCUGUGCUGAAAUUCCUGUUUAUCACGCAAUCAAUAAUUCCAAGCAGUUUUGCUUUGCAAUGUCUCUACAAAUGUCUGACCUCUCCUACCUAUUCAUGCUGCCUCCAGCUUCAUUGUCUGAUUUUGCUGUGAACAGUUAAGAGGAAAUACCGAGUUCAAGUGUUGCUAGAAAUCUCCUGCCAUAGCAAUGCCCACCUUUACUGGCUGUUUUCUGCUUUUGCUUUAAGGAUGAGUUUUCCAGUAAGUUUGUUUUCAAUACAUUUCAUACAAGUUGUCCUUAUAUUGAGUAUCGUUCUUUACUUUUUUCUGUCUCAGGUAAGUCAGACUUGUUUCCAAUGACCCUCAUGUUUUAAUUUUUUCCCUUCUGUCCUGUUUUCCCUUUUCUAGUGAGUACUCGCCAUCAUCUGUCAGAGCAUAUGCAUCCUAACAAUACUGCUCUUUCCAAAGCAUCUCUAUAUAAAUUACCUUUGGAUCCUUUUGGGCCAGUCAGUCCUGGAUUGCCAGGGAUUCCUGUGUAGCCUGGACUUCCACCAAGUGGCAAUAUAACAAAAUCACAGCAUGCAGGUAGGACAGAGGGGAGAGGCCCUUUGUUGACUCUGACUAAAAUGUAAUCAAGGCAUUGAAUUGUUGCAUUAAGGAAUUUACCUUUCCUGUUAUACUGACAGUCUCUUCUCAGGAGGAACAUUUAAUGGGAAACCCUGGUUCCCCCUUUUGUCCUUUCUCAAGAUGGAUGUUAACACAGCCACUGUCUCCUGGAGGCCCUCUUUCACCUUUGAACCAAACACAUGGAAUGAAAGUAAAUCCUCAUGAGUGACACGGCCUGAAAAUUAAUUUUAGUCACAACUUCCCUAACAGAGAAAGCCUUCAAGUACUAAUGCAGUUCUCGGUUGUUUCAGCAGGCUCACUACUAACAGAAUUUAUUAUCCUUCUCUUGCUUUUUAGUUUACACAGUAAUAAGUCAGGUGAUGUUAAAUCAGAGUUAUUCCCUGCUUGUCUGGAAUAUGAAAAAUGGCAAUUGUAUUGUCCAUUCCACAGUGUACUGUCUGUGAUUGCACCUUGGAGAUGGUUAUUCUCUUUCCUACAUUAACAUUUAGAGAGGUUAAAGAACACAGACAAUAUGAUAGAAAACUUGAAAAAAAUCUAAAGUUUCAGAUGUGUGCAGGACAAAUCUCAUGGUUUGCUUGAAUAGGUGAUUAACUCUUUAAUUUAGUGGUAAAUGCACCUACUGAUCUCAGUGAAAUUAAUUUUUCUUUAGUUAUAUUUCGUUAUGCAUUUGUGAGAUUAACUGGAUUUAAUAUUUAGUAUCUCUGAAAAUAGAAGUGAAUAUACCUUUAGCAAGAAGAAAAAGUAAAUAUAUUCCUAACACAGCAGGAACAAAACUAAACAUAGCAGUAACGUAACUACAGUGUGAAGUGGAUUUUUACAAACCUUUUAUUCCCAUAUCCCCACAUUCUCCACU